AGAACGAACGCUGGCGGCAGGCCUAACACAUGCAAGUCGAACGCUCGUAGCAAUACGAGAGUGGCAGACGGGUGAGUAACGCGUGGGAACGUACCCUUCGGUUCGGAAUAACCCGGGGAAACUCGGGCUAAUACCGGAUACGUCCGCAAGGAGAAAGAUUUAUCGCCGAAGGAUCGGCCCGCGUCGGAUUAGCUAGUUGGUGAGGUAACGGCUCACCAAGGCGACGAUCCGUAGCUGGUCUGAGAGGAUGAUCAGCCACACUGGGACUGAGACACGGCCCAGACUCCGUACGGGAGCAGCAGUGGGGAAUA
Molecule: ribosomal RNA, 311 nt
Filed under: uncultured soil bacterium
Lineage: Bacteria
Description: bacterial SSU rRNA
Rfam family: Bacterial small subunit ribosomal RNA
Source: RNAcentral